This 62-nucleotide transfer RNA is filed under the name Serratia marcescens. Its description in RNAcentral is "tRNA-Ser". It matches the Rfam family "tRNA". From Rfam's summary of the family: Transfer RNA (tRNA) molecules are approximately 80 nucleotides in length. Their secondary structure includes four short double-helical elements and three loops (D, anti-codon, and T loops). Lineage: Bacteria; Pseudomonadati; Pseudomonadota; Gammaproteobacteria; Enterobacterales; Yersiniaceae. The record is from RNAcentral.
UCCUCUGUAACGGCGGACUGUUAAUCCGUAUGUCACUGGUUCGAGUCCAGUCAGAGGAGCCA